This 504-nucleotide small RNA is filed under the name Pan troglodytes (chimpanzee). Its description in RNAcentral is "retained intron". Lineage: Eukaryota; Metazoa; Chordata; Mammalia; Primates; Hominidae. The record is from RNAcentral.
UAUAAUUUCAGUACUGAAAUAAAUCUUAUAGAAAUGUUUGCAAACAUGCUGUCAUUCGAGCUGUUAGUUCUUUGUUUUCAGGUGGUUGAUUUGCUGAGAUAUUUUUCCUGGGCCGAGCCCCAGUUGAAGGCAAUGAAAGCAUUACAGCAUAAAAUGGUGGCUGUCCAGCCAACAGAAGUGGUCAAUAUACUCAACUGUUUCACUUUCAGUAAAGACAAACUAGUUGCUCUUGAACUGUUAGCCUCGAACAUUAUUGAUGCACAGAAUUCUCGUCCUAUUGAAGAUUUAUUCAGGAUAAAUAUGUCUGAGAAGAAACGGUGCAAGAGAAUACUUGAACAGGCUUUCAAGGGGGGCUGCAAAGCUCCUCAUGCUAUGAUAUCUUCUUGUGGAACUAUCCCAGGAAAUCCAUAUCCCAAAGGAAGACCUAGCCGCAUAAAUGGAAUUUUCCCAGGAACUCCUUUGAAAAAAGAUGGUGAAGAAUGUACUAACGAAGGCAAAGGAAUA